CCCUCAUGUCUGAGAACUUGUAAACGGUUGAGAUCCCCACCCCUAAACCAUAUAUAUUUUUGUAUAGGUCAACAAAACAAAUCAAAUAAAAAUAAAGUGGGAGUCCCUUUGGGUCAGCCCCACCCCCUCAUGUCUGAGAACUUGUAAACUGUCGAGAUCCCCACCCCUAAACCAUAUCUAUUUUUGUAUAGGGCAACAAAACAAAUUCAAUAAAAAUAAAGUGGGAGUCCCUUUGGGUCAGCCCCACCCCCUGUUGUUUGACAACUUGGAAAUGGUCAAGAUCCCCUCCCCUUAACCAUAUAUAUUCUUGUACUGGACAAUAAAACAAAUCAAAUUCAAAAGAAGGCGAGUCCCUAGGGGUCACUCCCAUCCCCUUGUUGUUUGAGAACUUGUAAACGGCUGAGAUCCACACCCACAAACC
Molecule: long non-coding RNA, 421 nt
Filed under: Mytilus galloprovincialis (Mediterranean mussel)
Lineage: Eukaryota; Metazoa; Mollusca; Bivalvia; Mytilida; Mytilidae
Source: RNAcentral